Molecule: ribosomal RNA, 468 nt
Filed under: uncultured bacterium
Lineage: Bacteria
Description: partial 16S ribosomal RNA
Rfam family: Bacterial small subunit ribosomal RNA
Source: RNAcentral
GACGAACGCUGGCGGCGUGCUUAACACAUGCAAGUCGAACGGAAAGGCCCUGCUUUUGUGGGGUGCUCGAGUGGCGAACGGGUGAGUAACACGUGAGUAACCUGCCCUUGACUUUGGGAUAACUUCAGGAAACUGGGGCUAAUACCGGAUAGGAGCUCCUGCUGCAUGGUGGGGGUUGGAGAGUUUCGGCGGUUGGGGAUGGACUCGCGGCUUAUCAGCUUGUUGGUGGGGUAGUGGCUUACCCAGGCUUUGACGGGUAGCCGGCCUGAGAGGGUGACCGGCCACAUUGGGACUGAGAUACGGCCGAGACUGCUACGGGAGGCAGCAGUGGGGAAUAUUGCAGAAUGGGCGGAAGCCUGAUGCAGCAACGCCGCGUGCGGGAUGACGGCCUUCGGGUUGUAAACCGCUUUCGCCUGUGACGAAGCGUGAGUGACGGUAAUGGGUAAAGAAGCACCGGCUAACUACGUG